CUUGGCCUGGAGGUGUGUAACUAAAAUUAGAACCACCCCAUAGUUAAAGACGAAGCGCUUUUUACUUUAAAAAGACCUUAACUGGGUUUGUGGUUCACUGUACAGCGGUAUAAGACAAAAGAAGAAAAAAUUCGUUAUAAAUAGAAACUAUAUGUGGUUUUAAUUGGCUGGUUUACCAUACAGUCACUCAGCUGAGUUUACAAAAUUUGCGGUGCCUUUUUGCGAAACCCAACAAGGUCUUAAUCAAUUUUCCGCAAUUUUCCAAUCUUGGCACUCUUUUCUACUAAUUUUUCUACUUGAACUCAUUACCUUUUCUCAAAUCAACUGAUAAAAUCUACGUCAACUCUAUCAAAUGAUCUAUUUAUGUUGGUCAUUACAAACUUUGCAUCAUAUUUGAAAAAACCGCGUCAUUACUUUAUCCGACACCUGGUAGAGAAAUUUCGUACUACUCUAUCGUUGUCGUCUGCGUUUCGGACGGCUUGAGGAACGGUGUUGGAAUGAUUGGUCCAAGAACAGAAACUAGGUCUGAACUUCAUCUGUGAUUUAUCCCUCCUCCAAUGAAAGACGAUCAACAGGUACCUAGUUACCAAAACUUCUGCACGCAUAUCAGUGAGACCACAUUUCUGUUGUUUUUGUUUUCCCUAUCUGGACGACAUCGAGACCAGACUGGAAUGACUUUACCCCCUCCCAAAUGGACCUAUUGUCGUAUUCCAUUUUGCUCCGCGAAUAGAUCUGUAUCAACGAUUAAAACGCUUAAGUGUUCAGACCACUUCAGGCAUUUUUUUUUACAACGAAAGCAGUAACAUUCAGUCAAGUUGUUAACUGAGUUCAAAUCAGGAACAAAGACUCGAUAAUAUUCCAAAUCAUCAAGGCGUUGAUGUCAUAUGUUGAGACCAGCAGAUGGAGAAUCAAUGUUUGCUCAAUUAAAGUAGAGAACAAAAUAAGAAAUACAAUAUGGAUGAUGCUAAUUUUCAUUGGUGAAAGGAGUGGUGACCAAGUCAAGUUUCACCUGCUGCGUGCAAUCUACGCUGGUGUUGUCCUGAAGUGUGGAAGCGUUACUUGAAAUGUUACAGCAACUGAAGACUUCAGAAACGGAAGAUCUACGAUGCUGUCAUUUUUCCAACGUCCGGUUGAAGCCAUUCAGAGAAGGUCAUAACUCAUAAGGAACAUUACGUAAGUGUCAUGUGGUGGUGUAAGGUUGGGUGAGAAUUGAGAAAGACACGUGUUCAUCAUUAUCAAACCCAUCCCCAGCAACGUCAUCCUUCAGAAGGAAAGGCCAGUUU
Long non-coding RNA from Daphnia pulex (common water flea), 1283 nucleotides. RefSeq lists it as uncharacterized. The transcript is spliced from 7 exons. Lineage: Eukaryota; Metazoa; Arthropoda; Branchiopoda; Diplostraca; Daphniidae. The record is from RefSeq and is a predicted model, not a curated record.